This is a long non-coding RNA of Lytechinus pictus (painted urchin), 1580 nucleotides long. RefSeq lists it as uncharacterized. The record is from RefSeq and is a predicted model, not a curated record. The transcript is spliced from 3 exons. NCBI's taxonomy places the organism in Eukaryota, Metazoa, Echinodermata, Echinoidea, Temnopleuroida, Toxopneustidae.
AUGCACUUGUAUGAUUGGAUAAAACGCUAAUGUUUUAUUCAUGUCCUCAUGCAUUAAACAUUUUUUUCCUUCCCACAAUUCCCUACGAUAUCUGUGCGAAGUGUCGUUCUUUUUUACUUUGCGAAAUUCAACAUUUGAAAUACAAUAGCAAGACUAAUUAUCUGUUUAUAGAAUUAGUAUCCGGAAUCAUGAUUUCUGAGUGAAAUUCAGUUGAGCAGAAAAUUAUGAGGGAACAUCUAUAUCAAAGUAAUGGCAUUCCAUACAAAUAAAAAUCCAAUGGGAUCAAGUUCUUAGCAGUCCCAGCCCAGUCAGAAGUACAAAGUCAACUACCAUUUACACAUCACCAAGAGUUACAAUCUGAUGAGGAACAGGAUAUUUGAACUGAAAACUUGUAAGGUUCCGCAGGCAGUUUGAGUAUCACCAGGGCAGAUUAUAAGAAGAAAUAUGGAGGCCAAGUUCAUAACAAGUAGCUACUUCAUCACAAUUAGUACACAUUUUUAAAAUUGAAUGAAUUUGAAUAAACAUGUCAAUACAUAUUGAAUGUUGCUUGAACUACACAUCUGUAGAAAAAAAAUUGGAGUAUUGAUAUUUAGGUCCAUAGGUUUCACACAAGAUUGAAAUAUUUUCCCAAAGGGCACACCUACCCACCCUUUAUUAAUGUUCUAAUCAUCUACAUGUAGUAGUAGUGAAAGAACUGUUAAUGAUAUAAGUAGUUUGAAAGGGAUAAGUUGUAUUCUGGUAAUAUAAUCAAUUCAGAAUGGGUCUUUACUAAGUUCUGUGCUAUGUACAUGCCUACAGACAUACAUAAGACAAUAAGAAAUAAUGGAUAUUCAUUGAAAAUGUGCAUACUAAAAAAAAACAAGGUGACAGAACAAAGGAUUAAGAAAUCACUCUCACUCCUGGACCCCAUUUCAUUAAGUCUAACCACUACUCUAACUCUUUGCCAUUCUGGUAAUUACCAUGGAAACAUUAAAGUAACAGAUCAACAAUGAGGUUCCCAUGCUAGUUGCUAGUUACAAUUGGGGCAAAUUUACCAUAAUUGACGUCUUUAUGAAACAAGGAUCUGUAGUGCUGGACAUUAAGCUGUUGAAUUUAUUUUUUGGGGAAGUGAAAAGUUGCACUGUUUUGUUCGUUUUUUAUCUCUUUUUGUUCUUGUAGCACUGUAUUGUUCAUGUCCCGUAUUAUGAACUAAAUUAGCUCUUCAAAUGAAAAAGAAAAAUUGUUGGAAAUAGAACACAGCUCUAGCAGCACUUCACAACAAUAGACAAUAAGCAAUUUUGUUACUAAUUUACUAAUGUGCAGAUUUGGGAAGGAAAUGUGGCAAUGUGCUCCCUUUUUUGUGAAGUGCCCUCGGUUAGAUUAGCAUGCUAUUUCUUGUCAGCAAAUGCUGAAAAAAAAUACUUGAUAUUUGAGUAACCGACUUUGAGAGAGAGGUAUAUCGUUAAUUUUUUUAAUGACAUCCUUGAUGUCCCCUUAUAUUGACUAUAUAAGGCUUAUCAAUACCUAUGAAAGUGAUUUUUUUAAAUUUGUUUUCUCUAGAUUUUACCCAAAAAAUUAUAUCCCCUCCCUUGUAACAGCCU